Molecule: ribosomal RNA, 302 nt
Filed under: uncultured bacterium
Lineage: Bacteria
Description: partial 16S ribosomal RNA
Rfam family: Bacterial small subunit ribosomal RNA
Source: RNAcentral
GCAGUAGCCGCGGGAAUACGAAGGGUGCAAGCGUUACUCGGAAUUACUGGGCGUAAAGCGUGCGUAGGUGGUGGUUUAAGUCCGUUGUGAAAGCCCUGGGCUCAACCUGGGAAUUGCAGUGGAUACUGGGUCACUAGAGUGUGGUAGAGGAUAGUGGAAUUUCCGGUGUAGCAGUGAAAUGCGUAGAGAUCGGAAGGAACAUCUGUGGCGAAGGCGACUAUCUGGGCCAACACUGACACUGAGGCACGAAAGCGUGGGGAGCAAACAGGAUUAGAUACCCCAGUAGUCCCUGUCUCUUAUAC